GUAAUUCACACGCGAUUUUAUCGCUCCGUUUGUUGUGUCAGGCGUCGCCAUAGGCCACCUUUAAAGGAUAGGCCACUGGUAGCUUUAAAAGAUAAGCAUUGUGUGUAUAGCUUUUUUCCAAGAAAUAUGGGAGCGCUUCUUUUCAAGGCUGAGUGUGAAGAGGCGAUUAUAAUUCUGAACUUCAACUUACGUAUUUACUCGUCAUUAGAAAUUACUGUGUUUACAAAGCAUCAACCGCGCGUAGGUUUUCAUUCACAUUGUGGAAUGUAUAGACAUUGUUUUUAUGAUGUGUGGCUGAAAUUAUUGAAGCAAAUUGAUACAUUCUGGAUGUCAAAUAAGCGAAAAUACAAAUAUGAGGAAAGGUGUUGCAACACUUGGUGAGUAUUGGGAGAUAUUUUUAGCUGAAAAAUACAAACUUCUUUUUCAAAAUAGCUUAGAUUGCUGUGUCCAGCAUAACCCUGCAUUUUUCGUUUAUGCCUAUUUGCCCUGUUGAAAAGGACUAAAUCAGUUUUAUGUAAUGGAUAGUUUAUAUUUUCAGGCUCAUUGCCGUCUCACUUUGUCCUGUGCAAUUUGUUUGUGUAUGGGUUUGAGUCACAUUUGUGAAAAGCAGCCAAUUGAAGUUCACUCUGGGAAUACAGUGACUGAAAUAGUUCUAGCUAUGAGGUUGGUUUGGGUUGGGAUUUUGUUGUUGUAGUUCUGUUAGGAGGUUUUGGUGAAUUAGACCUACAUGAAACAUCCUUAAGAUGUCAUUAGUCAUGACAAAAAGCUCUGUGGAUUAAAAAUAUAAUUUCUGUGUUUGUGAUGGGUUGGAGUUUUGGUGGUCUUUUUAGUUUUAAUAUUGGGUGCAAGUGAAAAUCCAUCUUAACAAUACAAAGUUCUUAAAGUACUGAAAAUUAAUGCAAAACUAUUCGUGUACUUAAAAGUUGCAAAAGUAGUUAUUUUGAAUUGUGCAAUCCAGUGGUAAUAUAUUGUCUAUGACCUCAUGCAUACCUUUUGAAGUGGACGGAAUAUUAAAUUGCUAUUCUUACUUAAAUGUCAUAAUAGAAGGUAUUUAAAUUGUACAUCUUAGCAAUUAUAUACUUUGUCAAAGGUUGUAAGGUGGGCAUUGGUGCUAAUAUUGUACGUGAUACUUUAUAGUAGCUUUUGGGAGUGAUAUGGAAUUGUCAGCCAAAAAUGCUUACUUACGGUAAUUUUGGGGAAAUUGUAAUAAUUUCUUCCAGAAAAUACUCUUUUGUUAGAUUUCACAUAGGGUGUAAACUGUUAAAAAUACACUGUAAUUAAAUAGUCAAGAAUUAUCUCUCUGUUACACACAGAAAUUUUCCUGAGUAAUCCAUUCCUGUGUCAUCUGGGGCAGUCUCAAAAGUAUUGGAAACAAUUUGCUUGAGGACUUCUUCUCUCAUGGGUACAGAAUAAUAUGUCCUUCUAACUAUCUAAAGGGACAUAAAAAAAUCCUAGUGCAUUAAACUUACCUUAAUAAAUGCCUAGAAGGUUAAAAUCUUGCA
RNAcentral lists this long non-coding RNA (1502 nucleotides) under Cyanistes caeruleus (blue tit). RNAcentral describes it as "lncRNA (ENSCCEG00000017977.1)". The record is from RNAcentral. Lineage: Eukaryota; Metazoa; Chordata; Aves; Passeriformes; Paridae.